RNAcentral lists this unclassified non-coding RNA (235 nucleotides) under Hevea brasiliensis (rubber tree). Lineage: Eukaryota; Viridiplantae; Streptophyta; Magnoliopsida; Malpighiales; Euphorbiaceae. The record is from RNAcentral.
GAUCCAUCAUUUAUCUUUUUGUUGAGCACAACUGUCUGCCACAUCUUUGUUAUAGUCUCGUGAUUACUAUCUAGAAGUUCACGACCUUGAACAAGAUCUGUUUUAUAGCUGUACGUGUUCUUGAGUUCUACAAUCUAGAAGUUCAAGUCGGUAGCUAAAAAGCUUAGAGAUCCCUCCCCAUAUUUUUGGGAUAGCUUCUCGGGGAUUGAUUAGAUUGGUAGGUGUAACUGGAAGG